RNAcentral lists this ribosomal RNA (484 nucleotides) under uncultured bacterium. Its description in RNAcentral is "partial 16S ribosomal RNA". It matches the Rfam family "Bacterial small subunit ribosomal RNA", at positions 30 to 507 of the family's 1533-position model. The record is from RNAcentral.
AUUGAACGCUGGCGGCAGGCCUAACACAUGCAAGUCGAGCGGAUGAAGGGAGCUUGCUCCUGGAUUCAGCGGCGGACGGGUGAGUAAUGCCUAGGAAUCUGCCUGGUAGUGGGGGAUAACGUCCGGAAACGGGCGCUAAUACCGCAUACGUCCUGAGGGAGAAAGUGGGGGAUCUUCGGACCUCACGCUAUCAGAUGAGCCUAGGUCGGAUUAGCUAGUUGGUGGGGUAAAGGCCUACCAAGGCGACGAUCCGUAACUGGUCUGAGAGGAUGAUCAGUCACACUGGAACUGAGACACGGUCCAGACUACUACGGGAGGCAGCAGUGGGGAAUAUUGGACAAUGGGCGAAAGCCUGAUCCAGCCAUGCCGCGUGUGUGAAGAAGGUCUUCGGAGUGUAAAGCACUUUAAGUUGGGAGGAAGGGCAGUAAGUUAAUACCUUGCUGUUUUGACGUUACCAACAGAAUAAGCACCGGCUAACUUCGUG